UAGUGUUAUGGCUCUUUUAAAAUUUGUCUCGCAGGCUUUCCAGUUUUUGCCAGAAAGCCCUU
This is a small nuclear RNA of Macaca fascicularis (crab-eating macaque), 62 nucleotides long. Its record names the gene U7. It matches the Rfam family "U7 small nuclear RNA". Rfam says of the family: Animal histone pre-mRNAs are spliced by a different mechanism than nuclear pre-mRNAs and self-splicing introns. This processing involves the U7 snRNP, which contains only one RNA species: U7. The 5' end of U7 RNA is thought to base-pair to a conserved spacer element downstream of the cleavage site in histone pre-mRNA. The record is from Ensembl. Lineage: Eukaryota; Metazoa; Chordata; Mammalia; Primates; Cercopithecidae.